GUAAUCUGCAGCACACACACGCUAAAAUCGGAACGAUAUAGAGAAGAAUAGCAUGGCCCCUGCAUGAGGAUGGCACGCAUAUUUGUGAAGCGUUCCACCUAGUA
This 104-nucleotide small nuclear RNA is filed under the name Chelydra serpentina (North American snapping turtle). Lineage: Eukaryota; Metazoa; Chordata; Testudines; Chelydridae. The record is from RNAcentral.